This 2946-nucleotide long non-coding RNA is filed under the name Homo sapiens (human). RNAcentral describes it as "GOT1 divergent transcript". The record is from RNAcentral. Lineage: Eukaryota; Metazoa; Chordata; Mammalia; Primates; Hominidae.
GGUUAAAAACCUAUCUCCGGGACCGGACUAUCUAGGUUUAGAUUCUGGCUGCCGCUUACGAAUUUGGGCAGGUUUAGUCAAGUUAUUUUAACCUCUCUGUGGAAGUUCCUGCUCUGUGGAAAUAAUAGUAUUUUCCUCAGAGUUGGUGUGGGGAGUUUGUGAGUUAAUACAUUUACGAAGUGGUUAGUUGCAUGUAAGAAGGACUCUCUAAAUGUCAGCUAUUAUUAACAUUGCAUAUCUGCCACACCCUUCAUAGAUGGUAAACUGCUUUUUUUUUUUUUUUUACUUUUAUUUUAGGUUCGGGAUACAUGCACAGGUUUGUUUUAUAGAUAAAUUGCUUGUCAUGUGGGUUUGUUGUACAAAUUAUUUUGUCACCCAGAUAGUAAGCAUAGUACUUGACAGGUAUUUUUUCUGAUCCUCUCCCUCCUCCCACCCUCUAGCCUCAAGUAGGUCCCAGUGUCUGUUGUUCUCUUCUUUGUGUCCAUGUGUUCUCAAUGUUUAGCUCCCACUUACAAGUCAGAACAUGCAGUAUUUGGUUUUCUCUUCCGCAUUAGUUCACUUAGGAUAAAGGCCUCCAGCUCCAUCCAUGUUGCUACAAAGGACAUGAUCUCUUUCUUUUUUAUGGCUGCAUAGUAGUCCAUGGUGUAUAUGUACCGUAUUUUCUUCAGUCUACUGGUGAUGGGCAUUUAGGUUGAUGCCAUGUCUUUACGAUUGUGAAUAGUGCUGCAGUGAACAUACAUGUACAUAUAUCUUUAUGGUAGAAUGAUUUAUAUUCUUUUGGGUAUAGACCCAAUACUGGGAUUGUUGGGUCGAAUGGUAAUUCUGUUUUAAGUUCUUUGAGAAAUCGCCACACUGCUUUCCGCGGUUACUGAACUAAUUUACAUUCCCACCAGCAUUGUAUAAGCAUUCCCUUUUCUCCACAACCUCACCAGAAACCAGCAUCUGUUAUUUCUUGACUUUUAUUAAUAGCCAUUCUGACUGGUGUGAGAUGAUAUCUCAUUGUAGUUUUGAUUUGGGUUUCUCUAGUGAUUAGUGAUGUUGAGUAUUUUAUAUGCUUGUUGGCCAUGUAGCUUCUUUUGGCUAGGGACCUGUGAGUCUCCCUAGGUUUCUUGCACUUACUAAGCCUUCAACAAAUGGUAGAAGAGUCAAUUCUCUUGGUGUUUCAGAAGAAAACAAUAUCACAGCCCCUCUCCACUGGAUAAUACUAUAAAUCUUAAAAUGAAUUUUCAUUCAGAGUAAUAAACACAAGCCAAAGAACUUUGUAUAACAUCCGUCAACUUUUUGUGUUAUCUAUUUCUUUUCCAAAACAUUGCCUCUGGUUUUAAAGGUAACUGCCCACAGUGUUUCACUAAUAACAUUUUAAGCAUUACAAGUUCAACACUGAAGGUCAAAUGACAACGAACUUUCAGUGCUUCCAAAAGCAGGGGCAGAGGGCAACUGCUGAGGGGGGCAUUGUAUAGCCUAACCUUCCCAGAAUUUGAUUUAAAAGUAUGAUCUUCACAGCGUUGGCCAGCAAUAUCAUGGUCACUCCCUACGUCAUUCCCUGGGAGAAAAACAACCCUAGGUUACCUAAACAAUGUUGGCGAAGACCAAAUAUUUAUUAACAUCCUAAGCCGCCCCAUAAUCAAGCCAAUGCUGAUAGGGACAAAGAAGGUGCCAUGUGCAGUUUUUCUCCAUGUCCCCACAAUAUCUGCUCUGAAUUUUAAAAGGCAAUUACUGGGGGAGAAGGAAGCCUAUAUAUUAUGUAGGAUCCAAGUCUCAAACUGCUUUCCUAGGGAGUGUGAGGUUCUUGGAGAUUAAGUGCAGUACCUUUCUGUCUUGAGCCUUGUAGGCUGCCCCUCUAAUUUAAUGCCAGUCUUGAAAUAAACAGAAUGCUUUCCAAGUCAUCGCUAAUUUUAACACUUUAAAUUUAGAAUUGCUUAGAAUUGACUCAACACUGCCUCCUUGCUGAAUGGAUAAUUCAAGCAAACAACUCAAGAGCUGGAUGCUGCCCAGACAGGUAGGCAGCCAGAUAAAGUGAGUGUCCAGGGAAAGAGCAGUAAGGGUCAGAAGAGAAAGAGCCUGGUGUUCUCACUGCCUCCUGCCUUCCUUAUGACUGUCUGUUCAGAAGUCCUCCUAGCAUCUUUCUUCUGCCUUCCCCUGCUCCUGUCCCUGAAACCUUUUCUUCAAAAGAAGUGGAAAAGAGGAACUGGGAACCCAUAUAGCAACAGCAUCACCUGGAAUGAAUUCCUUUAGAACAUACUGUCUUGGAAAUCUGAAGCCUGCAGGGCUGGACAGGCAAGAAGAGCAGUGAGCACUGCAUGAACCUGCAUGUACUCCGAAAUAUUUUUCAAAUGGAAAAGAAAACAGAGAACACAAUUUUCAAAAUAUCUAGAGCCCUCCAAGAAGUCUUUGUAGAGAUCUAUAAAAUCUCAAGGCAAUUUAAAGAAAAAUGUUUUAGAAACACUAUUCUCUCCACAUCCUGGGGCAGCAGCCUUCUCCAAAGAAACAGAAAGAAGGAAAUGGAUUGCCUUAGCAAAAAAACAAAUGAAGACACUCCAAAUAACAGAAGAAUGGGAAGGCUACAGACCUUGAAGUCAGAAGAAAAUUUCCUCUCCUUGCCCCGUUUCUCCUUAAAUGGAUCACCAGUACAGUCUCUUACUUCUAGAGCCAUGUUAAGCUUUCUUCCCCAAAGUUGUAAUGUCCUUCUUUUGGUUGUGUCGUGUCCUAAAAUCCUACUCUUUGGUACAAGAUGAAGGUAUAUGAAGAGAUAAUGAAGGAAACAAAUUCAAUGUGUUUGCCAAGAACACAGUCUUUUAAAUAACUCUUAAAGGGUUCGUUUAAAACAGUGUAAUAAAUUGUGGUAAUCUAGUACACAAAGCUAGUAGGAACCUCGUUUAUUAAUAAUAUUUCAACAUUGAGCAGUAGAGGGCAGCACUAUCCUUCUUUUGCAAAAUGUUGAGCACU